GAGACGCCCCCUUCUGCGCGGUCAUGCCGAGCCAGCGCCUCAGCCUGGAAGCGGGCCGCAGACCCUUAGUUUCGCCCACCGCCUGACGACCAUGGACCCCCGAAAAGUGAACGAGCUUCGGGCCUUUGUGAAGAUGUGUAAGCAGGAUCCAAGCGUUCUGCACACAGAAGAAAUGCGCUUCCUGAGGGAGUGGGUGGAGAGUAUGGGGGGUAAAAUACUAAGUGCUACUCAGAAAGCUAAAUCAGAAGAAAAUACCAAGGAAGAAAAACCUGAUAGUAAGAAGGUAGAGGAAGAUUUAAAGGCAGACGAACCAUCAAGUGAGGAAAGUGAUCUAGAAAUUGAUAAUGAAGGUGUGAUUGAACCAGACACUGACACCCCUCAAGAAAUGGGAGAUGAAAAUGCAGAGAUAACAGAGGAGAUGAUAGAUCAGGCAAAUGAUAAGAAAGUGGCUGCUAUUGAAGCCCUAAAUGAUGGUGAAUUGCAGAAAGCCAUUGACUUAUUCACAGAUGCCAUCAAGCUGAAUCCUCGCUUGGCCAUUUUGUAUGCCAAGAGGGCCAGUGUCUUCGUCAAAUUACAGAAGCCAAAUGCUGCCAUCCGAGACUGUGACAGAGCCAUUGAAAUAAAUCCUGAUUCAGCUCAGCCUUACAAGUGGCGAGGGAAAGCACACAGACUUCUGGGCCACUGGGAAGAAGCAGCCCAUGAUCUUGCCCUUGUCUGUAAACUGGAUUAUGAUGAAGAUGCGAGUGCAAUGCUGAAAGAAGUUCAACCUAGGGCACAGAAAAUUGCAGAACAUCGGAGAAAGUAUGAGCGAAAACGUGAAGAGCGAGAGAUCAAAGAAAGAAUAGAAAGAGUUAAGAAGGCUCGAGAAGAGCAUGAGAGAGCCCAGAGGGAGGAAGAAGCCAGACGACAGACUCAAUGAAAUUCUUAGUGAUCCAGAGGUUCUUGCAGCCAUGCAGGAUCCAGAAGUUAUGGUGGCCUUCCAGGAUGUGGCUCAGAACCCAGCAAAUAUGUCAAAAUACCAGAGCAACCCAAAGGUUAUGAAUCUUAUCAGCAAAUUGUCAGCCAAAUUUGGAGGUCAAGCAUAAUGACCUUCUGAUAAAUAAAGCCUUUGCUGAAGGAAAAGCAAACUAAAUCACCUUAUGGAUGUCGCAAUAAUACAAACCAAUGUACCUCUGACCUUCUCAUCAAGAGAGCUGGGGUGCUUUGAAGAUAAUCCCUACUCCUCUCCCCCAAAUGCAGCUGAAGCAUUUUACAGUGGUUUGCCAUUAGGGUAUUCAUUCAGAUAAUGUUUUCCUACUAGGAAUUACAAACUUUAAACACUUUUUAACUUUAAAAAUAUUUAAAACAAAUUUAAAGUGUCUGUUAAUUGUUAUGUUUUUCUUUACUACUCAUUUUGGAUUUUUUUUUCUUUGAAUUAUUGGGCAGGGAAGAUACUGAAUGUAUAGAAGAUUUUUGCUCUAAUUUGAGUGAAAUAAAAGUUUAUUAGUGCGAGGCAAACA
Molecule: RNA transcript, 1499 nt
Organism: Sapajus apella (tufted capuchin)
Lineage: Eukaryota; Metazoa; Chordata; Mammalia; Primates; Cebidae
Gene name: hsc70-interacting protein-like
Exons: 1
Source: RefSeq, a predicted model, not a curated record